AUGAGUUCUUCGUCAUCUUCAUCUGGCGAUGAUGAACUCAUACUUGCAGCAUUCACCGAGCGCGAGGAGGAAGAGAGGAAGAACGCUCGACGCCAUGGCGGUUCCAAGCAUGGACUCAGUCAAUCGAUCGAGGAAGAGAUGCCGGAUUUCUUCUUCUAUGGGAUGACUACUUCAAAGAAGUUCCUCGCUUUCCCGAACAUUUGUUUCGACGAAGGUUCGUAA
Molecule: ribosomal RNA, 222 nt
Filed under: Triticum aestivum (bread wheat)
Lineage: Eukaryota; Viridiplantae; Streptophyta; Magnoliopsida; Poales; Poaceae
Description: partial small subunit ribosomal RNA
Source: RNAcentral